AAGCUCGUAGUUGAAUUUCGGGGUUAGUAGGUUGGUCAUGCCUCUGGUAUGUACUGGUCUCACUGAUUCCUCCUUCCUUAUGAACCGUAAUGCCAUUAAUUUGGUGUUGCGGGGAAUUUGGACUGUUACUUUGAAAAAAUUAGAGUGUUUAAAGCAGGCUAACGCUUGAAUACAUUAGCAUGGAAUAAUGAAAUAGGACGUUCGAUCUUAUUUUGUUGGUUUCUAGGAUUGACGUAAUGAUUAAUAGGGAUAGUUGGG
This 258-nucleotide ribosomal RNA is filed under the name uncultured Glomus. RNAcentral describes it as "partial 18S ribosomal RNA". It matches the Rfam family "Eukaryotic small subunit ribosomal RNA", at positions 624 to 886 of the family's 1831-position model. The record is from RNAcentral. Lineage: Eukaryota; Fungi; Glomeromycota; Glomeromycetes; Glomerales; Glomeraceae.